RNAcentral lists this ribosomal RNA (208 nucleotides) under uncultured bacterium. RNAcentral describes it as "partial 16S ribosomal RNA". It matches the Rfam family "Bacterial small subunit ribosomal RNA", at positions 1293 to 1500 of the family's 1533-position model. The record is from RNAcentral.
UCGGAUUGUAGUCUGCAACCCGACUACAUGAAGCUGGAAUCGCUAGUGAUCGCGGAUCAGAAUGCCGCGGUGAAUACGUUCCCGGGUCUUGUACACACCGCCCGUCACACCAUGGGAGUCGGAAAUGCCCGAAGUCUGUGACCCAACCGAAAGGAGGGAGCAGCCGAAGGCAGGUCGGAUGACUGGGGUGAAGUCGUAACAAGGUAUC